RNAcentral lists this ribosomal RNA (2760 nucleotides) under Acinetobacter baumannii. Its description in RNAcentral is "partial 23S ribosomal RNA". It matches the Rfam family "Bacterial large subunit ribosomal RNA". The record is from RNAcentral. Lineage: Bacteria; Pseudomonadati; Pseudomonadota; Gammaproteobacteria; Moraxellales; Moraxellaceae.
GCAACAUGAAUACAUAGUGUUGCAAGGCGAACGAGGGGAAGUGAAACAUCUCAGUACCCUUAGGAAAAGAAAUCAAUUGAGAUUCCCUCAGUAGCGGCGAGCGAACGGGGAUCAGCCCAUUAAGUUAUGUGUGUUUUAGUGGAACGCUCUGGGAAGUGCGAACGUAGAGGGUGAUAUUCCCGUACACGAAAGGGCACACAUAAUGAUGACGAGUAGGGCGAGGCACGUGAAACCUUGUCUGAAUAUGGGGGGACCAUCCUCCAAGGCUAAAUACUCCUGACUGACCGAUAGUGAACCAGUACCGUGAGGGAAAGGCGAAAAGAACCCCUGUGAGGGGAGUGAAAUAGAUCCUGAAACCGCAUGCAUACAAGCAGUGGGAGCACCUUCGUGGUGUGACUGCGUACCUUUUGUAUAAUGGGUCAGCGACUUAUAUUCAGUAGCGAGGUUAACCGUAUAGGGGAGCCGUAGAGAAAUCGAGUCUUAAUAGGGCGUUUAGUUGCUGGGUAUAGACCCGAAACCAGGCGAUCUAUCCAUGAGCAGGUUGAAGGUUGGGUAACACUAACUGGAGGACCGAACCCACUGUCGUUGAAAAGCCAGGGGAUGACUUGUGGAUAGGGGUGAAAGGCUAAUCAAGCCUGGUGAUAGCUGGUUCUCCCCGAAAGCUAUUUAGGUAGCGCCUCGGACGAAUACCAUAGGGGGUAGAGCACUGUUUCGGCUAGGGGGUCAUCCCGACUUACCAAACCGAUGCAAACUCCGAAUACCUAUGAGUACUAUCCGGGAGACAGACUGCGGGUGCUAACGUCCGUAGUCAAGAGGAAAACAAUCCAGACCGCCAGCUAAGGCCCCAAAAUCAUAGUUAAGUGGGAAACGAUGUGGGAAGGCAUAGACAGCUAGGAGGUUGGCUUAGAAGCAGCCACCCUUUAAAGAAAGCGUAAUAGCUCACUAGUCGAGUCGGCCUGCGCGGAAGAUGUAACGGGGCUAAAACUAUGUGCCGAAGCUGCGGAUGUAUACUUUGUAUACGUGGUAGGGGAGCGUUCUGUAAGCCGAUGAAGGUGUGUUGAGAAGCAUGCUGGAGGUAUCAGAAGUGCGAAUGCUGACGUGAGUAACGACAAAACGGGUGAAAAACCCGUUCGCCGAAAGACCAAGGGUUCCAGUCCAACGUUAAUCGGGGCUGGGUGAGUCGACCCCUAAGGCGAGGCCGAAAGGCGUAGUCGAUGGGAAAAUGGUUAAUAUUCCAUUACUUCUGUGUAAUGCGAUGAGAGGACGGAGAAGGCUAAAUCAGCCUGGCGUUGGUUGUCCAGGUGAAAGGAUGUAGGCAUGUAUCUUAGGCAAAUCCGGGGUACUCUAUGCUGAGAUCUGAUAGCAAGCUGUACUUGUACAGCGAAGUGGUUGAUGCCAUGCUUCCAGGAAAAGUCUCUAAGCUUCAGUUACACAGGAAUCGUACCCGAAACCGACACAGGUGGUCAGGUCGAGUAGACCAAGGCGCUUGAGAGAACUCUGCUGAAGGAACUAGGCAAAAUGGUACCGUAACUUCGGGAGAAGGUACGCUGUUGUUGGUGAUGGAACUCGCUUCCUGAGCUGACGACAGCCGCAGAAACCAGGCCGCUGCAACUGUUUAUUAAAAACAUAGCACUCUGCAAACACGAAAGUGGACGUAUAGGGUGUGAUGCCUGCCCGGUGCUGGAAGGUUAAUUGAUGGGGUUAGCGUAAGCGAAGCUCUUGAUCGAAGCCCCAGUAAACGGCGGCCGUAACUAUAACGGUCCUAAGGUAGCGAAAUUCCUUGUCGGGUAAGUUCCGACCUGCACGAAUGGCAUAAUGAUGGCGGCGCUGUCUCCAGCAGAGGCUCAGUGAAAUCGAAAUCGCUGUGAAGAUGCAGUGUACCCGCGGCUAGACGGAAAGACCCCGUGAACCUUUACUGCAGCUUGACACUGAACUUUGACCUUACUUGUGUAGGAUAGGUGGGAGGCUUUGAAGCUGGAACGCUAGUUCCAGUGGAGCCGUCCUUGAAAUACCACCCUGGUAAUGUUGAGGUUCUAACUCUGUCCCGUGAUCCGGGACGAGGACCGUGUCUGGUGGGUAGUUUGACUGGGGCGGUCUCCUCCUAAAGAGUAACGGAGGAGUACGAAGGUGCGCUCAGCGUGGUCGGAAAUCACGCGUAGAGUAUAAAGGCAAAAGCGCGCUUAACUGCGAGACCCACAAGUCGAGCAGGUACGAAAGUAGGUCUUAGUGAUCCGGUGGUUCUGUAUGGAAGGGCCAUCGCUCAACGGAUAAAAGGUACUCUGGGGAUAACAGGCUGAUACCGCCCAAGAGUUCAUAUCGACGGCGGUGUUUGGCACCUCGAUGUCGGCUCAUCUCAUCCUGGGGCUGAAGCAGGUCCCAAGGGUAUGGCUGUUCGCCAUUUAAAGAGGUACGCGAGCUGGGUUUAGAACGUCGUGAGACAGUUCGGUCCCUAUCUACCGUGGGCGCUGGAAAUUUGAGAGGAUCUGCUCCUAGUACGAGAGGACCAGAGUGGACGAACCUCUGGUGUACCGGUUGUGACGCCAGUCGCAUCGCCGGGUAGCUAUGUUCGGAAGGGAUAACCGCUGAAAGCAUCUAAGCGGGAAGCCUACCUCAAGAUAAGAUUUCCCUAGGACUUUAUGUCCUCUAAAGAGCCGUUCGAGACUAGGACGUUGAUAGGUUGGAUGUGGAAGCAUAGUGAUAUGUGAAGCUGACCAAUACUAAUUGCUCGUGAGGCUUGACUAUACAACACCCAAGCAGUUG